UUUUAAGAAUUGUCCAUCACCUUCAAUUGAGAGUAUCCUGGAAAAUAAAGAUGAAAACUAUGAACUGCCCUCUUCAAUAGUGCAGGCUAAGGCAUUGUCAGUAAUUCCUGCGAAUUCUUCAUUUUCUCCCGCUUCCGAUUCUUUAUGCUUAGAAGAGAAGAACAAUCCUUGCACAAGUAGUAGCAAGACGAGGAUUGAUUAUUGUGAAUAAAUAUGUGCUGAAUGAACAGAAUGAAAGUAAAGAAUGCAAAUUUUCACUACAAAAAUAAAUUGGCAAUCUGUAAGAGUAGGAUUUUGAUGAUGUGCAGCAGCCUACUCGAGAUUCAAAGAGAAUUGGGCCAUCACCUGCAUUUGAAGGAGACUCAUUUAUUUUAGAAAAAGAAAUACACAAGCAAUAUAUGAAGCUGAAAUUGUCAAAACGUUGUCAUAAAGGUUAGCAGUUUUCUGAAUAUAUUUAAGUUGUUGCGUUCUUGUUGGAAUGUCUUUUCCUUAUGUCUAGUUUUCCAUCCAUUUUUAGUUAUUUUUUUAGAUUUGGAUAUUUUUAUGUGUAAGGGGUCUUUUGCUAUGAUCUGCGCACUGCUUUUCAUGUUAGUUUUAUACUCUUUUCUCUCUCUUUUUGUUAAUAAUGUUGAAUUAAUGAUUGCACAUAUGACAACUGGGAAUAAGAAGUGUAGCUUGCAGGACUGCUCCAACAUUACAAAAAAGAGGAAGGAAUGCUCUGCAAGUGUAGGUGAAUGCAAUUUGAAUGAGAGUACAACAGAAAAUAAUGGUGUCUUCUCAAGUGCCAGAUCAUCAGCAAAGUUAUUUCGUAAGAUGCAAGGCAAGUCCAACGUUACAAAAAAGAGGAAGGAGUGCUCUGCAAGUGCAGGUGAAAGCGAUUUGAAUGAGAAUCCAACUAAAAAUGGUGGCGUCUCAUCAAGUGCUCAUUCAUCAACUCAAUUGUUUGGAAAUCUAAGGCACCAAAUUCAGCUUGCUGAGGAUACUUUGAAAGAAGCUAUUGAUUUGAAACAUUCAACUGACC
This is a long non-coding RNA of Magnolia sinica, 1021 nucleotides long. RefSeq lists it as uncharacterized. The transcript has 3 exons. The record is from RefSeq and is a predicted model, not a curated record. NCBI's taxonomy places the organism in Eukaryota, Viridiplantae, Streptophyta, Magnoliopsida, Magnoliales, Magnoliaceae.